AUUUGACUCCACUUUUCAUGGGCUUGACCCCACUAUUCAUAGGACUGACAUUCUGAGCAGGCAUCGGGCAUGUUGAACACAUGUACCGUUCUGGGUCGCCUCUUAGGCCUCACGGUCCCCUAUGUGCAAACUCUUUUGGUAUAUUCGAGCUGGGGCCGCGAACCCCUCUUAGCCCAUGCGAGUUGAUACUGCGAGCUCCCCUAGAUGUCCCUUUGCUGUACACCUCGCAAAAAUCCAUCUGAUAGGACUUGGGCGGGACGCGGGUGCACGACCCGGAUCUUACCUAGGUUUUGUAUUGAUG
This 301-nucleotide long non-coding RNA is filed under the name Gossypium barbadense (sea-island cotton). Its description in RNAcentral is "long non-coding RNA (GBAR_LNC014477)". The record is from RNAcentral. Lineage: Eukaryota; Viridiplantae; Streptophyta; Magnoliopsida; Malvales; Malvaceae.